GUCGACGGUGAAGCUCCAGCUUGCUGGAGUGGAUCAGUGGCGAACGGGUGAGUAACACGUGAGCAACCUGCCCCAAACUCUGGAAUAAGCGCUGGAAACGGCGUCUAAUACUGGAUACGAGACCAACCUGCAUGGGUAUGGUUUGGAAAGUUUUUCGGUUUGGGAUGGGCUCGCGGCCUAUCAGCUUGUUGGUGAGGUAAUGGCUCACCAAGGCGACGACGGGUAGCCGGCCUGAGAGGGCGACCGGCCACACUGGGACUGAGACACGGCCCAGACUCCUACGGGAGGCAGCAGUGGGGAAUAUUGCACAAUGGGCGAAAGCCUGAUGCAGCGACGCCGCGUGAGGGAUGACGGCCUUCGGGUUGUAAACCUCUUUCAGCAGGGAAGAAGCGAAAGUGACGGUACCUGCAGAAGAAGCACCGGCUAACUACGUGCCAGCAGCCGCGGUAAUACGUAGGGUGCGAGCGUUGUCCGGAAUUAUUGGGCGUAAAGAGCUUGUAGGCGGUUUGUCGCGUCUGCUGUGAAAAUCCGGGGCUCAACCCCGGACUUGCAGUGGGUACGGGCAGACUAGAGUGUGGUAGGGGAGACUGGAAUUCCUGGUGUAGCGGUGAAAUGCGCAGAUAUCAGGAGGAAC
RNAcentral lists this ribosomal RNA (634 nucleotides) under Janibacter limosus. RNAcentral's name for it is "bacterial SSU rRNA". It matches the Rfam family "Bacterial small subunit ribosomal RNA", at positions 61 to 707 of the family's 1533-position model. Lineage: Bacteria; Bacillati; Actinomycetota; Actinomycetes; Micrococcales; Intrasporangiaceae. The record is from RNAcentral.